RNAcentral lists this ribosomal RNA (800 nucleotides) under Pseudomonas sp. 22AD7. Its description in RNAcentral is "bacterial SSU rRNA". It matches the Rfam family "Bacterial small subunit ribosomal RNA", at positions 78 to 874 of the family's 1533-position model. Lineage: Bacteria; Pseudomonadati; Pseudomonadota; Gammaproteobacteria; Pseudomonadales; Pseudomonadaceae. The record is from RNAcentral.
GCUUGCUCCCUGAUUCAGCGGCGGACGGGUGAGUAAUGCCUAGGAAUCUGCCUGGUAGUGGGGGACAACGUCUCGAAAGGGACGCUAAUACCGCAUACGUCCUACGGGAGAAAGUGGGGGAUCUUCGGACCUCACGCUAUCAGAUGAGCCUAGGUCGGAUUAGCUAGUUGGUGAGGUAAUGGCUCACCAAGGCGACGAUCCGUAACUGGUCUGAGAGGAUGAUCAGUCACACUGGAACUGAGACACGGUCCAGACUCCUACGGGAGGCAGCAGUGGGGAAUAUUGGACAAUGGGCGAAAGCCUGAUCCAGCCAUGCCGCGUGUGUGAAGAAGGUCUUCGGAUUGUAAAGCACUUUAAGUUGGGAGGAAGGGCAUUAACCUAAUACGUUAGUGUUUUGACGUUACCGACAGAAUAAGCACCGGCUAACUCUGUGCCAGCAGCCGCGGUAAUACAGAGGGUGCAAGCGUUAAUCGGAAUUACUGGGCGUAAAGCGCGCGUAGGUGGUUUGUUAAGUUGAAUGUGAAAUCCCCGGGCUCAACCUGGGAACUGCAUCCAAAACUGGCAAGCUAGAGUAGGGCAGAGGGUGGUGGAAUUUCCUGUGUAGCGGUGAAAUGCGUAGAUAUAGGAAGGAACACCAGUGGCGAAGGCGACCACCUGGGCUCAUACUGACACUGAGGUGCGAAAGCGUGGGGAGCAAACAGGAUUAGAUACCCUGGUAGUCCACGCCGUAAACGAUGUCAACUAGCCGUUGGAAUCCUUGAGAUUUUAGUGGCGCAGCUAACGCAUUAAGUUGACCGCCU